This 547-nucleotide ribosomal RNA is filed under the name Acanthodoras cataphractus (chocolate talking catfish). RNAcentral's name for it is "partial large subunit ribosomal RNA". It matches the Rfam family "Bacterial large subunit ribosomal RNA", at positions 1850 to 2602 of the family's 2925-position model. The record is from RNAcentral. Lineage: Eukaryota; Metazoa; Chordata; Actinopteri; Siluriformes; Doradidae.
AGGUCUUGCCUGCCCAGUGACAAGUUAAACGGCCGCGGUAUUUUGACCGUGCGAAGGUAGCGCAAUCACUUGUCUUUUAAAUGAAGACCUGUAUGAAUGGCGGAACGAGGGCUUAACUGUCUCCCCUUUCAAGUCAAUGAAAUUGAUCUGUCCGUGCAGAAGCGGACAUACUAAUACAAGACGAGAAGACCCUUUGGAGCUUAAGAUAAAAGAUCAACUAUGUCAAGAACACCAAAAUAAACUUAAACUAAAUAGCACCUGAUCUAUAUCUUCGGUUGGGGCGACCACGGGAGAAAACAAAGCUCCCACGCGGACUGGGGGAAACCCCUAAAACCAAGAAAGACAUUUCUAAGUCACAGAAUAUCUGACCCAAUAGAUCCGGCCCACCCGCCGAUCAACGGACCAAGUUACCCUAGGGAUAACAGCGCAAUCCCCUUUCAGAGUCCAUAUCGACAAGGGGGUUUACGACCUCGAUGUUGGAUCAGGACAUCCUAAUGGUGCAGCCGCUAUUAAGGGUUCGUUUGUUCAACGAUUAAAGUCCUACGUG